UUAUUUUCCCACACUGCUAUUUCCUGCUUGUUUUUCCAUCUAAGGAUUUCAAAUGCACCUAUUCAUAGUACCCUGAUGCCAGACCUACCAAAGCCACAGAUUAAAGAGGGAAACGAAAUAUGCAGCUGAACUUUAAACUCAGUGUGGAAUGAUUUGCAUUUUUCUUAUUAAGCUUCUCAAUUUCAUCUUCUCACAACAAGUAGCGACUUAAGCCAUAGCAGCCGAAAAAAUAACAUCAGAGGCCGAUUGACUGGCUGCAGAAGACCAGCAUCCAUGGGAGACAAGCAGUCUCAAAGGAGGUGGCUGUUCGAAUGAGAGGAUGGGCACUCUAAGUAGAGGAACUUCCUGGAGGGUUGUAGAAGCUUUGCAAACAAAAGCAGUACCCUGGAAAUGGCAAGCAAGACAAGAUACGAGCUGCAAUACAAAGGACAAGAGCCAUCCUUUUAAAACUUAAAGAGAUACUUACACCAGAAAUUAACCAUUUUUUACAUCUAUUAUAACAUUGUCCUUGCAUGCUGUUCAUAGUUUUGCCUUAAAAGUAUUUGCCUGAUGCUUUUACAUUACCUGUCUGAUGCACUGUGUUUCUCUGUGAGGGGGGCUGCCAUUUUUGUGCAGGAAUAGUCUGUUAGCAUUAGAAGCUGUCAGGUUUAGAAAAUUUAAGUACCAAUUACUUACAAAAGCAGCCCUAUCAGUGAAAAAUGAUCAACAUGA
Molecule: long non-coding RNA, 711 nt
Organism: Xenopus tropicalis (tropical clawed frog)
Lineage: Eukaryota; Metazoa; Chordata; Amphibia; Anura; Pipidae
Exons: 3
Source: RefSeq, a predicted model, not a curated record